AUGAACGCUAGCGGCAGGCUUAACACAUGCAAGUCGAACGGUAACAGGUCUAGCUUGCUAGAUGCUGACGAGCGGCGGACGGGUGAGUAACGCGUGGGAAUCUGCCUUCUAGGUGGGGGAUAGCCCGGAGAAAUCCGGAUUAAUACCGCAUACGCCCUACGGGGGAAAGCCGGGGAUCUUCGGACCUGGCGCUAGUAGAUGAGCCCGCGUGAGAUUAGCUUGUUGGUGGGGUAAUGGCCUACCAAGGCAACGAUCUCUAGCUGGUCUGAGAGGACGAUCAGCCACACUGGGACUGAGACACGGCCCAGACUCCUACGGGAGGCAGCAGUGGGGAAUAUUGGACAAUGGGCGAAAGCCUGAUCCAGCAAUGCCGCGUGUGUGAAGAAGGCCUGAGGGUUGUAAAGCACUUUCAAUCGUGAAGAAAAGUUGCAGGCUAAUACCCUGUGACCUUGACGUUAACGAUACAAGAAGCACCGGCUAACUCCGUG
Molecule: ribosomal RNA, 488 nt
Filed under: uncultured bacterium
Lineage: Bacteria
Description: bacterial SSU rRNA
Rfam family: Bacterial small subunit ribosomal RNA
Source: RNAcentral